This 490-nucleotide ribosomal RNA is filed under the name uncultured bacterium. RNAcentral describes it as "partial 16S ribosomal RNA". It matches the Rfam family "Bacterial small subunit ribosomal RNA", at positions 30 to 507 of the family's 1533-position model. The record is from RNAcentral.
AUUGAACGCUGGCGGCAGGCCUAACACAUGCAAGUCGAACGGUAACAGGAAGAAGCUUGCUUCUUUGCUGACGAGUGGCGGACGGGUGAGUAAUGUCUGGGAAACUGCCUGAUGGAGGGGGAUAACUACUGGAAACGGUAGCUAAUACCGCAUAACGUCGCAAGACCAAAGAGGGGGACCUUCGGGCCUCUUGCCAUCGGAUGUGCCCAGAUGGGAUUAGCUAGUAGGUGGGGUAACGGCUCACCUAGGCGACGAUCCCUAGCUGGUCUGAGAGGAUGACCAGCCACACUGGAACUGAGACACGGUCCAGACUCCUACGGGAGGCAGCAGUGGGGAAUAUUGCACAAUGGGCGCAAGCCUGAUGCAGCCAUGCCGCGUGUAUGAAGAAGGCCUUCGGGUUGUAAAGUACUUUCAGCGGGGAGGAAGGGAGUAAAGUUAAUACCUUGGCUCAUUGACGUUACCCGAAGAAGAAGCACCGGCUAACUCCGUG